This is a non-coding RNA of Caenorhabditis elegans, 21 nucleotides long. The record is from Ensembl. Lineage: Eukaryota; Metazoa; Nematoda; Chromadorea; Rhabditida; Rhabditidae.
UGAGAACAUAGCUUUUUUUCA